GGCUGGGGCGCCGCCGGCGCGCAUGCUCCCGCCGCACCUGCUCCCGCGGGUGCGCCCCGAAGCGCGGCAGACUCCGGGUCCGGUCUCAAGUGCGCGGCGGUGGAGGGGCGGCUGCAGUUUACUCCCGGGGAUGUCUCUAGCAGGAGCCGCGAAACCUCGCUCCCGCCAGCCUGCCCCGCCCCCUGCGCCGCGUCGAGGAGCGCUCACCCCGGCUUCACUCCUGCUCUCGGGGUUCACCUGCCUCCUCUGGAGUCCUCUUCGUCCCGCGACUCCUCUCAAUUUUGCGACCUCCUCUCCUCAAGGUGCCUCUUUGCAGCUCUAGACUUUGCUCCACGCGCGUCCGCAGAAGCCAUUUCAAAAUGAAAGAAGACUGUUUUCACCUGGACCCAACAAAUGUUCAGGAAGCCUGUUCCAGCUGCUGGAGACGAAGAAGGAAAGUGAAGGUACUAAUGGCAUACCCAUGCCGUCUCCAAGGUGAGAGACAGAGAAAAUGCAAAAGAGAAAAUUCAGAGAAAUGUGACUGCCAUUCAUCUCUGAUAUUUGGGACCCAGAAACUCCAGGGUUCAGCCCCAGCAUCUCACUGUGUACUUGUGUGUUUCCAGAGCAUGGAAAUGACUGCCUUAUCACGUUAAUUUGUUUCAGUGGCUUCAUUUGGACCAGGAUGGGUCCUUCAAAAAUGAACUCAGUGAUUUUCCAAGGUCCCAUUUCUCAUUGGACUUUACUUCCCUCUCAGCACCUUGCACAGUUCUUUGCACAGAAGAAGUGCUCAAAAAACAUUGCUGAAAUUAAAAUCACUUCAUCAUGUGCAAGGGGAGGCCAAGUGAAUGCUCAUCACGAAAGUCAUUCAAUACAAGCUUGACCACGAUGAGUGUUGGGCCUUCUGCAUUGAGGAUCCCAAGAUUUAUCCCUGUUUAUGGGUGUGGAGUGGCUGGGACCAAGGGUAGGCAUGUUAAAACCAUUGCCAGAACAGACCAUUACCAGCUGCUCAAGAAACACUGGAAGGUGACAAGGCUGAUAUGAGAAGAGUUGCCAUGUCUGCAGUUCAACCCUAAGAAGCUAUUUAUUAUUUCUUAUCCAUGUUUCCAUUAUCAUGUCUUUUGAUUUUUCUUUCUCCCUCUGCCUUCACUUAUCAUUGUCACAUUGAAAUAUGUGCAAGUGGGGAGUUCCCGUCAUGGCUCAGUGGUUAACAAAUCCAACUAGGAACCAUGAGGUUGCGGGUUCGAUCCCUGGCCUUGCUCAGUGGGUUAAGGAUCCAGUGUUGCCAUGAGCUGUGGUGUAGGUUGCAGACGCGGCUUGGAUCCUGCGUUGCUGUGGCUCUGGCAUAGGCCAGUGGCUACAGCUCCAAUUAGACCCCUAGCCUGCGAACCUCCACAUGCCGUGGGAGCGGCCCUAGAAAAGGCAAAAAAGAUUUAAAAAAAAGAAGAAAAAGAAAAAAGAAAUGUGUACAGGUAACCAGCCUCUUUGUCUGGGGUUAUAGACUUACUCUAAUCACCAUCCCAUUUCCCAAGCUAAAUAUUUUUUUGUAUUUUUUAAAUAUAUUUUUUUAUUUUUAAAUCAACCCUUUUUGUAUAGUCAAUUUACAGUGUUGUGUUAAUUUCUGCUGCACAAGCAAAAAGAUUCAGAUUAUAUAUACACACACACACACAUACGCAUGUGUGUGUUAUCUAGAUCUAUAUCUAUAUAUACACACUUUUUUUUUCUUUUUAUAUUCUUUUCCAUUGUGGUUUAUCGUAGGACAUUGAAUAUGGUUCUCUGCUCUGUGCUGGACAGUAGGACCUUGUCCCAAGCUAAUUUAACUUCCCCUCCUGCCCACCUUUUAUAUCUUUUUCCAUUAGUUUUGUCUCUGUUUAGUGCCAGCUCUUUGGACUCUGGCACAUAGAGUGACCCAGAGAGGCUCUUAAAUAGCUGUCUAGACACACAACUUGAUAGCCUCCAUCUUAAAAAAAAAUAAUACCUCUGAAUCUUACAUUGCCCUUCUGAAUCUUAGAUGACCUUACCACGUGUUCCAACUUAGCACAUCAAUCUUAAGACUCGUGCUGGCUUUUAUGAUAGAGUUCCAGUCCUGGGGCCAAUCUCGGCCCUCUGCUCUCAUCUUUCCACCACAAGCUUUAAUUUAAGCCUGAAAAUGAACUACCACCAAGAUAAAUGAAUAGCAAACAUGAAUCAAAAGGGGGGACUUUGACUUUGUCACUAACGGUCUUAAUAAUCACACUAAUUUGUCACGUGUACAGGUGCCCAUAGGCAAAGCAUCGUGCAAAGCAUCAUGAUUUGUGUUUCUUGAAUUGCUUCAUUGUCUCCUCAGCGGGCAAAUAAGUUCUUAUGCUCCACGUAUAUUUUACUACUUAUACUAUAUUCCGAGAAUAUUUUCAAAAUUUGAGGCAAUAAUCUUCUUAGUUAGAGGCUUUGGUCAACAUUUAUCCAGGUCUUUCUUUUUUAUUGUUGUUACAUUCCAUAGUAAACUAUGAGGAAAAAUUUUAAAUAGCAGAGUAUGCAAAUUAUAGUUGUACAAUACUGACCUUUUUUUUUUUUUUUUUGGUCAUACUGUCUAUGCCCCUGUAGUGUUUUUUCUAAGUGUUUCAUUUGGUCUUAAUAUCAUCUCUCACCCCCUGAAUAAUUAGUAUCAUUUAUUAUUUUAUUUUAUUUUAUUUUAUUUUUAUUUUUUAGCUGCACCCAAGGCAUAGAAGUUCAUGGGCCAGGGGUCGAAGCCAUGCCACAGCAGUGACCUGAGCCACUGCAGUGAUAACACUAGAUCCUUAACCACUAGGCCACAAGGGAACUCCAUUUUUCUUAUUUUAUAAAAAAAAAUGAUAAUCAUUUCUAUGGUUCUCAUUUGUUUUCUAUGUUUUGUUAUUGAUUAUCACUGUUUUCUGACAAUCUGGCCUUCAGGAUAUCCUACCUUAAAUAACCAGAUAUCUGACAGGAAAACAUUUUAGUGGCAAUUUGUUCAUAGAUCCUCAAAUAAAGAUAUGAUAAAGCAAAA
RNAcentral lists this long non-coding RNA (2980 nucleotides) under Sus scrofa (pig). RNAcentral's name for it is "lncRNA (ENSSSCG00030067128.1)". The record is from RNAcentral. Lineage: Eukaryota; Metazoa; Chordata; Mammalia; Artiodactyla; Suidae.